AUUGAACGCUGGCGGAAUGCUUUACACAUGCAAGUCAAACGGCAGCACGGGGGCAGCCCUGGUGGCGAGUGGCGAACGGGUGAGUAAUACAUCGGAACGUGCCCGGUCGUGGGGGAUAACGUAGCGAAAGUUACGCUAAUACCGCAUACGAUCUGAGGAUGAAAGCGGGGGACCUUCGGGCCUCGCGCGAUCGGAGCGGCCGAUGUCAGAUUAGGUAGUUGGUGGGGUAAAGGCCUACCAAGCCGACGAUCUGUAGCUGGUCUGAGAGGACGACCAGCCACACUGGGACUGAGACACGGCCCAGACUCCUACGGGAGGCAGCAGUGGGGAAUUUUGGACAAUGGGCGCAAGCCUGAUCCAGCCAUUCCGCGUGCAGGACGAAGGCCUUCGGGUCGUAAACUGCUUUUGUACGGAACGAAAAGGCUCUGGCUAAUACCUGGGGCUCAUGACGGUACCGUAAGAAUAAGCACCGGCUAACUACGUG
RNAcentral lists this ribosomal RNA (484 nucleotides) under uncultured bacterium. RNAcentral's name for it is "partial 16S ribosomal RNA". It matches the Rfam family "Bacterial small subunit ribosomal RNA", at positions 30 to 507 of the family's 1533-position model. The record is from RNAcentral.